CUAAAUUACAACCUAUUGAUGGUCCAUAAAGCUCAAAUGACGAUAUUUUAGUGAACGAUAGCAGAGAUGACACAGAUGUGUCAAUAUAUAUAGGAAGAUGUGGUAUGAGUGCCAAUGAGACAACUCUCCAUCAACGUAAAAAUCUAUAAAAGUAAACCAUUAUAGGCCAAGGUACGGCCUUCAAUACGGAGCCUUGGCUCACACCGAACAGCACGCUAUAAAGGGCCCCAA
This 231-nucleotide long non-coding RNA is filed under the name Mytilus galloprovincialis (Mediterranean mussel). The record is from RNAcentral. Lineage: Eukaryota; Metazoa; Mollusca; Bivalvia; Mytilida; Mytilidae.